Eucalyptus grandis is the source of this 585-nucleotide long non-coding RNA. RefSeq lists it as uncharacterized. The record is from RefSeq and is a predicted model, not a curated record. NCBI's taxonomy places the organism in Eukaryota, Viridiplantae, Streptophyta, Magnoliopsida, Myrtales, Myrtaceae. The transcript is spliced from 2 exons.
AAAUGGAAAACACAAUGUGCCAAGCCGAAACUACCAAAUACCUCCCCAAAACAAAUAAUGAGGAAGGCUUUUCUUCUUGUUUGUGCUCUCUUCAUCUUGCUCGCUCUUCUCUUCCUUCCUUCCAUUGAAGCUCGAGCACUCCUUCAGGAAGGUACGCCAUGCCCAAAGAUCAGAGUGGCACCGUGCUCACAAUAUCCGCCAGGGUGUAUCCCAGGUAAAACAUGCUUUCUCCCACCGGAAGCGCCAUGAGACCAGGGAGCUGAAUGAAGCUGCUCGUGAAGUAUUUUCAUGGCACCGCUAUCGUGAAUGAAUAAAGAAACGAGUGAAGUCAUUUACCUGAUGGAGCCUGUUUCCACGUUCAAAAUUAGGGAUGAAUACUGUCUAAGAUGCAUGUUAAGGUAUAAAACAAUAAAGCAAAGAAAGGAUCGUUUGAUCUAAGGUAUCGUGUGUUUCGAGGGGGGAAAACGGAAUGGAGAGGGAGUCUCUCUCAGGAUUCAUCUUCUCUUUCAAAAUCCAUUGUAAUGAAUUAUCAAGAUGAAUGUGCAAUGAAGUGUUUCUGCUGCAGUCGCUUCUUGUUGAAUUGAA